AGCAGCCGCGGUAAUUCCAGCUCCAAUAGCGUAUAUUAAAGUUGUUGCAGUUAAAAGCUCGUAGUUGAAUUUCGGGAUCAAUAUAUCGGUCGUGCCUUGGUACGUACUGGUAUCAUUGGUCUCUCCUUUCUGACGAACCAUGAUGUCAUUAAUUUGGUGUUAUGGGAAGUUAGGACUGUUACUUUGAAAAAUUAGAGUGUUUAAAGCAGGCUUUGGCUUGAAUACAUUAGCAUGGAAUAAUGAAAUAGGACGUUCGAACCUAUUUUGUUGGUUUCUAGGAUCAACGUAAUGAUUAAUAGGGAUAGUUGGGGGCAUUAGUAUUCAAUUGUCAGAGGUGAAAUUCUUGGAUUUAUUGAAGACUAACUACUGCGAAAGCAUUUGCCAAGGAUGCUUUCAUUAAUCAAGAACGAAAGUUAGGGAUCGAAGACGAUCAGAUACCGUCGUAGUCUUAACCAUAAACUAUGCCGACUAGGGAUCGGAUGAUGUUAAUUUUUAAUGACUCAUUCGGCGUUCUUAAC
This 518-nucleotide unclassified non-coding RNA is filed under the name uncultured Glomus. Its description in RNAcentral is "SSU rRNA". It matches the Rfam family "Eukaryotic small subunit ribosomal RNA", at positions 569 to 1092 of the family's 1831-position model. Lineage: Eukaryota; Fungi; Glomeromycota; Glomeromycetes; Glomerales; Glomeraceae. The record is from RNAcentral.